This 448-nucleotide ribosomal RNA is filed under the name uncultured bacterium. RNAcentral describes it as "bacterial SSU rRNA". It matches the Rfam family "Bacterial small subunit ribosomal RNA", at positions 330 to 793 of the family's 1533-position model. The record is from RNAcentral.
UCCAGACUCCUACGGGAGGCAGCAGUGGGGAAUAUUGCACAAUGGGGGAAACCCUGAUGCAGCGACGCCGCGUGAGUGGAGAAGUAAUUCGUUAUGUAAAGCCCUAUCAGCAGGGAAGAAGAAAUGACGGUACUUGAGUAAGAAGCACCGGCUAAAUACGUGCCAGCGGCCGCGGUAAUACGUAUGGUGCAAGCGUUAUCCGGAUUUACUGGGUGUAAAGGGAGCGCAGGCGGCACGGCAAGCCUGAUGUGAAAGCCCGCGGCCCAACCGCGGGACUGCAUUGGGAACUACCGGGCUGGAGUGCCGGAGAGGUAGGCGGAAUUCCUAGUGUAGCGGUGAAAUGCGUAGAUAUUAGGAGGAACACCAGUGGCGAAGGCGGCCUACUGGACGGUGACUGACGCUGAGGCUCGAAAGCGUGGGGAGCAAACAGGAUUAGAUACCCCUGUAA